CGAGGGUUGUGCUGUUAUAUUCCGUACCGCUAGGGGCAGCAUACGGCCAGCUCGGGGUAUAAUGCUAACUUCCUCGGCAUGAGUGGAAAGUCAAGAUAAUGGCUUGCCUCCGGCUAAUAUCAGAUCCAGGAAUGAUCCCCGGGCGUCGGCGUCCCUCACUGGCUGCAGAGUCGGCCGCCUCAGCACUGCUCGGACACGAUGAAGCCCUCCUUCUCGUGGCCCGCCGGCUCGACCUCGGCGUAGGACGGGUGGCCCGAGCCACGGCGGAACUUCAUGGCCGGCCACCUGCUCGGCCGUCUCUGCGGACACAAGUCUUCCGCCAUUGCGGCACACGUGGCUCACCUCAAUCAGGAAGAGGCUGGCGGCCGACGUCGGGUGAUGGUAGAUGUAGACGGUGACCAUCACCCCCGCCACCAUGAUGACCAUCACCAGCAGGACGCCCAGGAUCAAA
This is a long non-coding RNA of Syngnathoides biaculeatus (alligator pipefish), 451 nucleotides long. RefSeq lists it as uncharacterized. NCBI's taxonomy places the organism in Eukaryota, Metazoa, Chordata, Actinopteri, Syngnathiformes, Syngnathidae. The transcript is spliced from 3 exons. The record is from RefSeq and is a predicted model, not a curated record.